This 241-nucleotide long non-coding RNA is filed under the name Fukomys damarensis (Damara mole-rat). Its description in RNAcentral is "lncRNA (ENSFDAG00000032686.1)". Lineage: Eukaryota; Metazoa; Chordata; Mammalia; Rodentia; Bathyergidae. The record is from RNAcentral.
GGUUACUGUGCCCUAGUGCCCUUUUCCCAUCGCACUUGGAAAUGUCAGCUAUGCAGAAGAACUGCCAUGCAGGCUCCAGGAACGUCUCCAGAGCACCAGACCAGGGAGGAUGAUGAGGUUGGAAUUGGCAACCAGCCACCUCUGUUAAUGUGGUCCUUGCUGCCUGGUAUCCAAUGGACUCUAUCUCUUAAGAAACCAAUAAUUAAGAUCCUCAGAAGGUGGAGGUGAGCAGAAGAGACAG